AUGUUGGCUCUUCGCCACCUGGAGUUGUAGGUGGUUCCAAGGGUUGGGUUGUUUAGCCAUUAAUGUGUUACACGAGUUGGGUUCAGAAUAUCGUGAGACAGUUC
RNAcentral lists this non-coding RNA (104 nucleotides) under Triticum aestivum (bread wheat). RNAcentral describes it as "Bacterial large subunit ribosomal RNA". It matches the Rfam family "Bacterial large subunit ribosomal RNA", at positions 2529 to 2632 of the family's 2925-position model. The record is from Rfam by way of RNAcentral. Lineage: Eukaryota; Viridiplantae; Streptophyta; Magnoliopsida; Poales; Poaceae. RNAcentral also lists the same sequence under 2 other names.